Molecule: ribosomal RNA, 363 nt
Filed under: uncultured bacterium
Lineage: Bacteria
Description: partial 16S ribosomal RNA
Rfam family: Bacterial small subunit ribosomal RNA
Source: RNAcentral
CCUACGGGGAGCAGCAGUGAGGAAUAUUGGUCAAUGGACGCAAGUCUGAACCAGCCAAGUAGCGUGCAGGAUGACGGCCCUCCGGGUUGUAAACUGCUUUUAGUUGGGAAUAAAAGGGGGCUCGUGAGCCCCGUAUUGUAUGUACCAUCAGCACAAGGACCGGCUAAUUACGUGCCAGCAGCCGCGGUAAUACGGAAGGUCCGGGCGUUAUCCGGGUUUAUUUGGUUUCAAGGGAGCGUAGGCCGGCUUUUAAGUCCGCUGGGAACGUCCGCGGCUCAACCGUGGAAUUGCAGUUGAAACUGGAGGCAGUGAAGGCACACAGGGAUGCCGGAAUUCAUGGUGUAGCGGUGAAAUGCUUAGAGA